Non-coding RNA from Acanthosepion pharaonis, 99 nucleotides. NCBI's taxonomy places the organism in Eukaryota, Metazoa, Mollusca, Cephalopoda, Sepiida, Sepiidae. The record is from the annotation of a GenBank genome assembly.
UGAUCAAAUGAUGCUAGAAACACUGGUUCUCAUUUGAUCACAGAAAUUAAGCAAUGUCAAGCUCAGUCAGUACUUAGAUGGGGGACCACUUGGGAAUGC